UUGUGGUCUAGGGGUGAUGACGUCUCCUUUACACGGAGAAGAUCAGUGGUUCGAUUCCACUC
Molecule: transfer RNA, 62 nt
Filed under: Fragilariopsis kerguelensis
Lineage: Eukaryota; Bacillariophyta; Bacillariophyceae; Bacillariales; Bacillariaceae
Rfam family: tRNA
About the family: Transfer RNA (tRNA) molecules are approximately 80 nucleotides in length. Their secondary structure includes four short double-helical elements and three loops (D, anti-codon, and T loops). Further hydrogen bonds mediate the characteristic L-shaped molecular structure. tRNAs have two regions of fundamental functional importance: the anti-codon, which is responsible for specific mRNA codon recognition, and the 3' end, to which the tRNAs corresponding amino acid is attached (by aminoacyl-tRNA synthetases). tRNAs cope with the degeneracy of the genetic code in two manners: having more than one tRNA (with a specific anti-codon) for a particular amino acid; and 'wobble' base-pairing, i.e. permitting non-standard base-pairing at the 3rd anti-codon position.
Source: RNAcentral